This 87-nucleotide transfer RNA is filed under the name Aliidiomarina halalkaliphila. RNAcentral's name for it is "Aliidiomarina sp. IM1326 tRNA-Leu". It matches the Rfam family "tRNA". From Rfam's summary of the family: Transfer RNA (tRNA) molecules are approximately 80 nucleotides in length. Their secondary structure includes four short double-helical elements and three loops (D, anti-codon, and T loops). The record is from RNAcentral. Lineage: Bacteria; Pseudomonadati; Pseudomonadota; Gammaproteobacteria; Alteromonadales; Idiomarinaceae.
GCGGUGGUGGCGGAAUUGGUAGACGCGCUAGCUUCAGGUGCUAGUGUCCGAAAGGACGUGGGGGUUCGAGUCCCCCCCUCCGCACCA